UCGCAUCUGUGCAUGCAGCAUAUCAAUAAGCGGAGGAAAAGAAACUAACAAGGAUUCCCCUAGUAACGGCGAGUGAAGCGGGAAGAGCUCAAAUUUGAAAUCUUAAAGGGUUUCCCUUUACGAAUUGUAGUUUAAAGAAGUGUUUUCUGUUGAGGUUUUGGUAAAAGUUCUUUGGAAUAGGACAUCAUAGAGGGUGAGAAUCCCGUAUUUGACCUUUACUUUCAACUUUGUGAUACACUUUCAAAGAGUCGGAUUGUUUGGGAAUGCAGUCCAAAAUGGGUGGUAAAUUUCAUCUAAAGCUAAAUAUUGGCGAGAGACCGAUAGCGAACAAGUACCGUGAGGGAAUGAUGAAAAGAACUUUGAAAAGAGAGUUAAACAGUACGUGAAAUUGUCAAAAGGGAAGCGUUUGACACCAGUGUUGUUUUUCUGAAAAUCAAUUAAAGAACUGUUUAUGCUAAGUUGUUUAGACUUUAUCAGCUAACUGUUUAGUUUUGAGCCUUUUCUUUAAUGCACUUUUCAGUUAACAAGUCAACAUCAAUUUCUUUUGCUGUAAAAAAGCUUGAGGAAGGUGGCUUGAGAUUCGUCUUAAGUGUUUAUAGCCUCUUGCCUAUGCAGUCGGAGAGAUUGAGGUCUGCAGCGUAGAUCCUUCGGGGCUAAAUGCAUUUGUGCUAAGUUAUAGCAUUUUAUAGACAACUUGUUGACUAUGAUUUGUCUUGUAGCUUACUCGCUUAUGUUAUUUUACCUACGCUUAGGAUGUUGAGCGCAUGUCUCUCUCU
RNAcentral lists this ribosomal RNA (776 nucleotides) under uncultured Neocallimastigales. RNAcentral describes it as "partial large subunit ribosomal RNA". It matches the Rfam family "Eukaryotic large subunit ribosomal RNA", at positions 24 to 616 of the family's 3401-position model. Lineage: Eukaryota; Fungi; Neocallimastigomycota; Neocallimastigomycetes; Neocallimastigales. The record is from RNAcentral.